CAUGCAUGUCUAAGUACAAACUAAAUUAACAGUGAAACCGCAAAAGGCUCAUUAUAUCAGUUAUGGUUUAUUAGAUCAUUAACAGUUACUUGGAUAACUGUGGUAAUUCUAGAGCUAAUACAUGCAAUAUAAACAUGAACCUUAUGGAACAUGUGCUCUUAUUAGUCUAAAACCAAGCGAUUUUUUUCAAAAUCGUUAUAAUGGUUGAACUCUAGAUAAUUUGCCAAUCGUAUGGUCUUGUACCGACGAUAGAUCUUUUAAAUGUCUGCCCUAUCAACUAUUGAUGGUAGUAUUUAGGACUACCAUGGUUGCAACGGGUAACGGGGAAUCAGGGUUCGAUUCCGGAGAGGGAGCCUGAGAAACAGCUACCACAUCUAAGGAAGGCA
Molecule: ribosomal RNA, 386 nt
Filed under: Microdon pictipennis
Lineage: Eukaryota; Metazoa; Arthropoda; Insecta; Diptera; Syrphidae
Description: SSU rRNA
Rfam family: Eukaryotic small subunit ribosomal RNA
Source: RNAcentral